Molecule: ribosomal RNA, 393 nt
Filed under: uncultured bacterium
Lineage: Bacteria
Description: partial 16S ribosomal RNA
Rfam family: Bacterial small subunit ribosomal RNA
Source: RNAcentral
AUACGGAAGGUCCGGGCGUUAUCCGGAUUUAUUGGGUUUAAAGGGAGCGCAGGCGGAGAUGCAAGCGUGACGUCAAAUUUCGGGGCUCAACCCCGUCUCGCGUCGCGAACUGCGUCCCUUGGUUGCGGGAAGGGGAGGCGGAACUCGUGGUGUAGCGGGGAAAUGCAUAGAUAUCACGAAGAACUCCGAUCGCGAAGGCAGCCUUCCGGCCCGUCAACGACGCUCAUGCUCGAAGGUGCGGGUAUCAAAUAGGAUUAGAUACCCUGGUAGUCCGCACAGUAAACGAUGGACACCCGCGGUUUGGCCUAUAUGGCUGAGCCGCCAAGCGAAAGCGUUAAGUGUCCCACCUGGGGAGUACGCCGGCAACGGUGAAACUCAAAUGAAUUGACGGGG